AUUGAACGCUGGCGGCAGGCCUAACACAUGCAAGUCGAGCGGAUGACGGGAGCUUGCUCCUUGAUUCAGCGGCGGACGGGUGAGUAAUGCCCAGGAAUCUGCCUGGUAGUGGGGGACAACGUUUCGAAAGGAACGCUAAUACCGCAUACGUCCUACGGGAGAAAGCAGGGGACCUUCGGGCCUUGCGCUAUCAGAUGAGCCUAGGUCGGAUUAGCUAGUUGGUGAGGUAAUGGCUCACAAAGGCGACGAUCCGUAACUGGUCUGAGAGGAUGAUCAGUCACACUGGAACUGAGACACGGUCCAGACUCCUACGGGAGGCAGCAGUGGGGAAUAUUGGACAAUGGGCGAAAGCCUGAUCCAGCCAUGCCGCGUGUGUGAAGAAGGUCUUCGGAUUGUAAAGCACUUUAAGUUGGGAGGAAGGGCAGUAAGCUAAUACCUUGCUGUUUUGACGUUACCGACAGAAUAAGCACCGGCUAACUCUGUGCCAGCCGCCGCCGUAA
This 500-nucleotide ribosomal RNA is filed under the name uncultured bacterium. RNAcentral's name for it is "partial 16S ribosomal RNA". It matches the Rfam family "Bacterial small subunit ribosomal RNA", at positions 30 to 523 of the family's 1533-position model. The record is from RNAcentral.